This 253-nucleotide ribosomal RNA is filed under the name uncultured bacterium. RNAcentral describes it as "partial 16S ribosomal RNA". It matches the Rfam family "Bacterial small subunit ribosomal RNA", at positions 524 to 776 of the family's 1533-position model. The record is from RNAcentral.
UACGAAGGGGGCUAGCGUUGUUCGGAAUUACUGGGCGUAAAGGGCGCGUAGGCGGCCAUUCAAGUUAGGUGUGAAAGCCCUGGGCUCAACCUAGGAAUUGCACUUGAUACUGUUUGGCUUGAGUUCGGGAGAGGUGAGUGGAAUUCCCAGUGUAGAGGUGAAAUUCGUAGAUAUUGGGAAGAACACCAGUGGCGAAGGCGGCUCACUGGACCGACACUGACGCUGAGGCGCGAAAGCGUGGGGAGCAAACAGG